RNAcentral lists this ribosomal RNA (495 nucleotides) under uncultured bacterium. Its description in RNAcentral is "partial 16S ribosomal RNA". It matches the Rfam family "Bacterial small subunit ribosomal RNA", at positions 30 to 507 of the family's 1533-position model. The record is from RNAcentral.
UGACCGCUGGCGGCGUGCCUACUACAUGCAAGUCGAGCGAACGGACGAGAAGCUUGCUUUUCUGAUGUUAGCGGCGGACGGGUGAGUAACACGUGGAUAACCUACCUAUAAGACUGGGAUAACUUCGGGAAACCGGAGCUAAUACCGGAUAAUAUUUUGAACCGCAUGGUUCAAAAGUGAAAGACGGUCUUGCUGUCACUUAUAGAUGGAUCCGCGCUGCAUUAGCUAGUUGGUAAGGUAACGGCUUACCAAGGCAACGAUGCAUAGCCGACCUGAGAGGGUGAUCGGCCACACUGGAACUGAGACACGGUCCAGACUCCUACGGGAGGCAGCAGUAGGGAAUCUUCCGCAAUGGGCGAAAGCCUGACGGAGCAACGCCGCGUGAGUGAUGAAGGUCUUCGGAUCGUAAAACUCUGUUAUUAGGGAAGAACAUAUGUGUAAGUAACUGUGCACAUCUUGACGGUACCUAAUCAGAAAGCCACGGCUAACUACGUG